RNAcentral lists this ribosomal RNA (3248 nucleotides) under Durio zibethinus. RNAcentral describes it as "eukaryotic LSU rRNA". It matches the Rfam family "Eukaryotic large subunit ribosomal RNA". Lineage: Eukaryota; Viridiplantae; Streptophyta; Magnoliopsida; Malvales; Malvaceae. The record is from RNAcentral.
UAGUUAGGUGGGAUUACCUAUUGAAUUUAAGCACAGUGAUAAGUGGAGAAAAAGAAACUUACCAGGAUUCACUUAGUAACGAUGAAUGAACCGAGUAGAGCCUAGCUUGAGAAUCGAGCACCCAUGACAUCUGAAUUGUAGUUUAGAGAAGCAUCCUCAGUAGUAGACUAGGUCGAACUCCCUUGGAAAGGGCCACCAAGAAGGUAAGAGCCCCAUUGUGUUGAGACCUUGUCACACUACGAAGCAUUAUCUAUGAGUCGGGUUGUCUAAAAAUGUAACCCUAAUCGGGCUAUAAAUUCUGUGUGAGGCUAAAUACACUCGAGAGACAGAUAACGAACUAGUAUCAUAAGUGAAAGAUGAAAAAGACUUUGAAAAGAGAGUUAAAGAGUGCUUGAAAUUGUUAGGAAUAAAGCAGAUGGGGCUAGUAUGCACCCAGUCAAAUGUAAAAUGGCAAGAGCCAGUCUGUCGAUCGGUUUGGGGAGUGGACCAACUUAGGUCACAGCAGCAGCCCAAGCCCAAGCUUUUGAUAUGCCCUUAGAGACAUUGUCACCAUGAUUGUGGAAUGCAACACACACCACUUUGGUGUAACUUGGUACACACGUGCUCCUGACAUCAACCUAUAGGCUCUCAAUAUAGCCCGUCUUAAAACAUGAACUAAGGAGUCUAACAUGUGUGUGAGUCAAUGGGCUAGAAAACUCAUAAGACGUAAGGAAGUUGAUUGGUGGGAUACCUCGUGGGUGCAUUGCCUACCAACCUUGAUCUUCUAAAAAGGUUUAAGUGUGAGUAUGCUUGUCAAGACCUAAAAGAUGGUGAACCAUACCUGAGCAAGGUGAAGCCAAAAAAACUCUGGUGGAGGUCCAAAGUGAUAUUGAUGUUGAAAUCGUUCAUCUAACUUAGGUAUAGGGCAAAAAACUAAUCAAACCAUCUAGUAGCUAGUUCCUUUUGAAGUUUCCCUUAGGAUAGCUACACCCUUAGUGAGUUUUAUAGGGUAAAGUUAAUGAUUAGAGGCAUUAAGGGUGCAAUGCCCUUGACCUAUUCUUAAACUUUAAAUUGGUAGGAUGACGUUGCUACUUCAUUGAGCCAUGCCAUGGAAUCAAUAGCUCUAAGGGGGCCAUUUUUGGUAAGUAGAACUAGCAAGGUAGGUUGAAUUGAAAGUUGAGUUACAGUGCCCAACUACAUGUUAACUUAGAACCUACAAAGGGGUUGGUUAAUUAAGAUAGUAAGAUGGUGGUCAUAGAAGUCAAAAUCUACUAAAGAGUAUGUAACAACUCACCUACCAAUCAACUAGACCCAAAAAUGGAUGGUGCUUAAGCAUGUGACCUAUACCUGGCUAUCAGGGAAAGGAUCAGGCCCUGAUGAGUAAGAAGGCAAGGUGAUCAUUGAAAAACCCAGGGUAUGAGCCUGGGCAAAGCAACCAUCAGUGCAAAUUAUAGUGGUGGUAGCAAAUAUUCAAAUGAGAAAUUUGAAGGGUGAAAAGGGAAAAGGUUCUAUGUGAAUGAUACUUACACAUGGGUUAGUUGAUCCUAAGAUAUGGGGGAAAUUCAUCCGAUAGCGUGUCCAGUGUUAGCUUUCAAAAGGAAUUAGGUUAAAAUUCCUAAAGUAGAAUGCGGUAGCUAACAACAACAUUAAGGAGUCUAGAGACAUUGGUGAUGGCUCAGGAAGAGUUAUCUUUUUUGUUUAAUGGCCUACCCACCCUAGAAAUGGCUCAGCCAGAGGUAGGGUCUAGCAACUAGAAGAGCACUGCACAUCAUGCAAUGUCUACUGCACCCUUGAUAGUCGUUAAAAAUCUAGAGGAUCGAGUGCCAUCUGUGCUUGGUUUUACUCAUAAUCGCAUCAGGUCUCCUAGACGAAUAGCCUCUAGUCGAUGGAAUAAUGUAGGUAAGGGAAGUUAGCAAAAUGGAUCUAUAAGCUUAAGAAAAAGAUUGGCUUUGAAGGCUAGGCAUGGGGGUCCCAGUCUUGAACCCAUUGACUAUCAAUACAUUACUCUAGCUGUUCCCACAAUGUGAGUGGGUCAUAGCUUACUAGCUGAAGGAUGGACUAGGAAUACGUCCCUUGUGGGCCUUACUCGAGUGAUGAAUAAUUAACUCAGAAUUGGUAUAGGCAAAGUGAAUCUGACUAUUUAAUUAAAACAUAGCAUUGUGAUGGUCCUUGUAAAUGCUCAUAAAAUAUGAUUUUUGCCCAGUGCUUUAAUUGUUAAAGUGAAGAAAUUUAACUAAACACAGGUAAAUGGUAAGAGUAACUAUGACUCUCUUAAGGUAGCCAUAUGCCUUGUCAUCUAAUUAGUAAUAAGCAUGAAUGGAUUAAUAAGAUUCCCACUGUCUCGUCUACUAUCUGGUGAAACCAUAGCCAAGGGAAUGGGCUUGGUAUAUUCUGUGGGGAAAAAAGACCCUGUUGAGCUUAACUUUAGUUUGACUUUAUGAAAUGACUUAAUAAGUGUAGGAUAAGUGACAGCCCUCAAGUGAAAUUGAAAUACUACAACUUUUAAUGUUAUUUUACUUAUUCCAUGUAUCAGAGGUGGGGUAUGACUUUUGGACCUAAGGCCAACCUCAAUUGGUUGAUCCUAGCAAAAAACAUUGUUAGGUGAAGAGUUUAGCUGGGGUAGCACAUCUAUUAAAAGAUAAUGCAAGUGUCCUAAGAUGAGCUCAAUAAGAAUUGAAAUCUUUUAUGGAAUAAAAGGGUAAAAGCUCAUUUGAUUAUGAUUUACAGUAUGAAUAUGAAUCAUGAAAACAUGGCCUAUUAAUCCAUUAGACCUUCAAAAUUUCAAGCUAAAGGUGUCAAAAAAGUUACCUCAAGGAUAACUGGCUUGUGGCAGCCAAUCGUUCAUAGUGACAUUACUUUUUCAUCCUUUGAUGUAAGCUUUUCCUAUCAUUAUGAAGCAAAAUUCACCAUGUGUUUGAUUUUUUACCCACCAAUAGCAAUGUGAGCUUGGUUCAGACUAUCAUGAGAUAGGCUAGUUUUACCCUACUGAUGGUAGCAUCGCAAUAGUAAUUCAACCUAGUGUGAGAGGAACCAUUGAUUCUCACAAUUGGUAAUCACACUUGGUUGAAAAGUUGGUGGUGUGAAGCUACAAUGCACUAGAUUAUGACUAAAUGCCUCUAAGUCAGAAUCUAGGCUAGAAGUGAUGCAUGCACCUGUUGCCUAAUUGUUGACCUGCAAUAGGGCUAAUGCCCUUAAAGGCAUAUGUCAUAGGUGUAGCCCCUACAAUAGACAAGUUGAAUAGGCCUUCUUAGAGCUCAAUUCCCACCAAG